RNAcentral lists this ribosomal RNA (654 nucleotides) under uncultured Comamonadaceae bacterium. RNAcentral's name for it is "bacterial SSU rRNA". It matches the Rfam family "Bacterial small subunit ribosomal RNA", at positions 61 to 710 of the family's 1533-position model. Lineage: Bacteria; Pseudomonadati; Pseudomonadota; Betaproteobacteria; Burkholderiales; Comamonadaceae. The record is from RNAcentral.
GUCGAACGGCAGCACGGACUUCGGUCUGGUGGCGAGUGGCGAACGGGUGAGUAAUACAUCGGAACGUGCCCAGUCGUGGGGGAUAACGUAGCGAAAGCUACGCUAAUACCGCAUACGAUCUAAGGAUGAAAGCGGGGGAUCGCAAGACCUCGCGCGAUUGGAGCGGCCGAUGGCAGAUUAGGUAGUUGGUAGGGUAAAGGCCUACCAAGCCGACGAUCUGUAGCUGGUCUGAGAGGAUGAUCAGCCACACUGGGACUGAGACACGGCCCAGACUCCUACGGGAGGCAGCAGUGGGGAAUUUUGGACAAUGGGCGCAAGCCUGAUCCAGCCAUUCCGCGUGCAGGAUGAAGGCCCUCGGGUUGUAAACUGCUUUUGUACGGAACGAAAAGGCUCUGGUUAAUACCUGAGGCUCAUGACGGUACCGUAAGAAUAAGCACCGGCUAACUACGUGCCAGCAGCCGCGGUAAUACGUAGGGUGCAAGCGUUAAUCGGAAUUACUGGGCGUAAAGCGUGCGCAGGCGGUGAUGUAAGACAGAGGUGAAAUCCCCGGGCUCAACCUGGGAACUGCCUUUGUGACUGCAUCGCUGGAGUACGGCAGAGGGGGAUGGAAUUCCGCGUGUAGCAGUGAAAUGCGUAGAUAUGCGGAGGAACACC